RNAcentral lists this ribosomal RNA (136 nucleotides) under Bombyx mandarina (wild silkworm). Its description in RNAcentral is "partial 5.8S rRNA". It matches the Rfam family "5.8S ribosomal RNA", at positions 25 to 154 of the family's 154-position model. Rfam says of the family: 5.8S ribosomal RNA (5.8S rRNA) is a component of the large subunit of the eukaryotic ribosome. It is transcribed by RNA polymerase I as part of the 45S precursor that also contains 18S and 28S rRNA. The record is from RNAcentral. Lineage: Eukaryota; Metazoa; Arthropoda; Insecta; Lepidoptera; Bombycidae.
CUCGCGGGUCGAUGAAGAACGCAGUUAACUGCGCGUCAUAGUGUGAACUGCAGGACACAUUUGAACAUCGACAUUUCGAACGCACAUUGCGGUCCGUGGAAACACAUCCAGGACCACUCCUGUCUGAGGGCCGGCU